UACAGAGGGUGCAAGCGUUGUUCGGAAUUAUUGGGCGUAAAGCGCGUGUAGGCGGCUUUGCAAGUCGGGUGUGAAAUCCCUCAGCUUAACUGAGGAAGUGCGCCCGAAACUGCUUUGCUUGAGUGCCGGAGAGGAUGGCGGAAUUCCCCAAGUAGAGGUGAAAUUCGUAGAUAUGGGGAGGAACACCGGUGGCGAAGGCGGCCAUCUGGACGGUAACUGACGCUGAGACGCGAAAGCGUGGGGAGCGAACAGG
This 253-nucleotide ribosomal RNA is filed under the name uncultured bacterium. RNAcentral describes it as "partial 16S ribosomal RNA". It matches the Rfam family "Bacterial small subunit ribosomal RNA", at positions 524 to 776 of the family's 1533-position model. The record is from RNAcentral.